Molecule: long non-coding RNA, 247 nt
Filed under: Sorghum bicolor (sorghum)
Lineage: Eukaryota; Viridiplantae; Streptophyta; Magnoliopsida; Poales; Poaceae
Description: long non-coding RNA (SBIC_LNC003548)
Source: RNAcentral
CUCACGUUGGCAUCCAAGAACCUACCGCAAGUAUGGUAGCUCAAUGACACGCUCAAUGACACGCUGUAUUAGUGUUGCUCUUCACAGCUCCGUCGGGGUGAGCACGACACCCCUCACAAUCAUUUCUUCGGAGCACCGCACAAUCUUCUUUGCGUGCUUCAAUAAAGACUACCACCAAGCCAUCUAAGAGAUGGCAACCUCCAAGAGUAAUAAGCACCACCGGCUUGCAACUCGAUCACCUAGUGCC